UACGUAGGGACCAAGCGUUGUUCGGAUUUACUGGGCGUAAAGGGAGCGUAGGCGGCUUAACAAGUCACUUGUGAAAUCUCCGGGCUUAACUCGGAACGGUCAAGUGAUACUGUCGCGCUAGAGUGCGGAAGGGGCAAUCAGAAUUCUUGGUGUAGCGGUGAAAUGCGUAGAUAUCAAGAGGAAUACCUGAGGUGAAGACGGGUUGCUAGGCCGACACUGACGCUGAAGCGCGAAAGCCAGGGGAGCAAACGGG
RNAcentral lists this ribosomal RNA (253 nucleotides) under uncultured bacterium. RNAcentral describes it as "partial 16S ribosomal RNA". It matches the Rfam family "Bacterial small subunit ribosomal RNA", at positions 524 to 776 of the family's 1533-position model. The record is from RNAcentral.